This 74-nucleotide transfer RNA is filed under the name Plicaturopsis crispa FD-325 SS-3. Its description in RNAcentral is "tRNA-Val (AAC) (tRNA-Val-AAC-2-1, tRNA-Val-AAC-2-2)". It matches the Rfam family "tRNA". From Rfam's summary of the family: Transfer RNA (tRNA) molecules are approximately 80 nucleotides in length. Their secondary structure includes four short double-helical elements and three loops (D, anti-codon, and T loops). Further hydrogen bonds mediate the characteristic L-shaped molecular structure. tRNAs have two regions of fundamental functional importance: the anti-codon, which is responsible for specific mRNA codon recognition, and the 3' end, to which the tRNAs corresponding amino acid is attached (by aminoacyl-tRNA synthetases). tRNAs cope with the degeneracy of the genetic code in two manners: having more than one tRNA (with a specific anti-codon) for a particular amino acid; and 'wobble' base-pairing, i.e. permitting non-standard base-pairing at the 3rd anti-codon position. The record is from RNAcentral. Lineage: Eukaryota; Fungi; Basidiomycota; Agaricomycetes; Amylocorticiales; Amylocorticiaceae.
GGCUGGGUGGCGUAGUUGGUUAUCGCAUCUGUCUAACACACAGAAGGCCCCAGGUUCGAGCCCUGGUCUAGUCA